GACCAUCGUGUUUAUUUUCUGCUCAGUCAGUUCAAGAGCAACAUCUCCUUCUUGUAAGGCCGUGCUUUUCUCUAUUGUCAUAAAUGCACUAAAUACAAAGAAAGCAUAUACAUAUCAGUAGUGAAGAAUUGUAAAGAUGGAGAGUAAUCAUGGAGAUGGAGUGUGGAGAGUUGAUGUAAAUCUCAGAUUCAAAGCAUCCAUAAAGACUACGCUGAAAUAGAUCUCUUCUGUGUGCCAAAUUUUCCGACUGCAGAGGAAGAAUUAACAAUGGCCAAGGCCAAGGGGAACAGGCAGAAAGAAGAGUGUGGCCUCAAAUGAUUUACAAGCAUUAAUCAGGAAACAUAUGGCUGUCUUGCCAAACUUGCUGGACAUUUACAAGGUUCAUAGCAUAGCUCACAGC
Molecule: long non-coding RNA, 400 nt
Filed under: Homo sapiens (human)
Lineage: Eukaryota; Metazoa; Chordata; Mammalia; Primates; Hominidae
Description: HSALNT0091633
Source: RNAcentral